GCGCUCCCAGGGAGCUGUGGGAACGCGGGCGCGGCCCUGGGAAAUGCAGUUCUCGUGGCGCGUCUUCUGCCGCUUCCUAUUACUAGAAAACAUCAGCUGAUUUACAAAUGCUUACCAACAUCUAAAGGCUUCCUUUGAUGGCAGUCAUCUGAGAAGUGACUCCAAAUGGGCAUCAAUCACACUGGCCCAACUAAAGUCAACUCUACCUAAGGAGCCCCUAAUGGAAAAAAAUGAAAUGAAUAACACAUUCAUUUAAAUUCUA
This is a long non-coding RNA of Pipistrellus kuhlii (Kuhl's pipistrelle), 262 nucleotides long. RefSeq lists it as uncharacterized. The transcript has 4 exons. NCBI's taxonomy places the organism in Eukaryota, Metazoa, Chordata, Mammalia, Chiroptera, Vespertilionidae. The record is from RefSeq and is a predicted model, not a curated record.